RNAcentral lists this ribosomal RNA (198 nucleotides) under uncultured Carnobacteriaceae bacterium. RNAcentral describes it as "partial 16S ribosomal RNA". It matches the Rfam family "Bacterial small subunit ribosomal RNA", at positions 142 to 334 of the family's 1533-position model. The record is from RNAcentral. Lineage: Bacteria; Bacillati; Bacillota; Bacilli; Lactobacillales; Carnobacteriaceae.
GACAACAUUCGGAAACGGAUGCUAAUACCCCAUAGGUGGAUUGGUCGCAUGACGAAUUCAUUAAAGGUGGCUUUGCUACCACUCAUGGAUAGCCUCGCGGCGUAUUAGCUAGUUGGUAAGGUAAUGGCUUACCAAGGCAGUGAUACGUAGCCGACUUGAGAGGGUGAUCGGCCACACUGGGACUGAGACACGGCCCAG